AACCGAGUGCGGGCCCUCUGGGUCCAACCUCCCAUCCGUGUCUAUCUGUACCCUGUUGCUUCGGCGUGGCCACGGCCCGCCGAAGACUAACAUUUGAACACUGUCUGAAGUUUGCAGUCUGAGUUUUUAGUUAAACAAUAAGGAAAACUUUCAACAACGGAUCUCUUGGUUCCGGCAUCGAUGAAGAACGCAGCGGAAAUGCGAUAAUUAAUGUGAAUUGCAGAAUUCAGUGAAUCAUCGAGUCUUUGAACGCACAUUGCGCCCCCUGGUAUUCCGGGGGGCAUGCCUGUCCGAGCGUCAUUGCUGCCCUCAAGCACGGCUUGUGUGUUGGGCUUCCGUCCCUGGUAACGGGGGCGGGCCCAAAAGGCAGUGGCGGCACCAUGUCUGGUCCUCGAGCGAUUGGGGCUUUGUCAACCGCUCCCGUAGGUCCAGCUGGCAGCUAAGCUCGGAACCAAUCUUUUCUAACCACCGC
RNAcentral lists this ribosomal RNA (472 nucleotides) under Aspergillus pseudoglaucus. Its description in RNAcentral is "eukaryotic LSU rRNA". The stretch from base 146 to 300 matches the Rfam family "5.8S ribosomal RNA". Lineage: Eukaryota; Fungi; Ascomycota; Eurotiomycetes; Eurotiales; Aspergillaceae. The record is from RNAcentral.